Long non-coding RNA from Mirounga angustirostris (Northern elephant seal), 2514 nucleotides. RefSeq lists it as uncharacterized. NCBI's taxonomy places the organism in Eukaryota, Metazoa, Chordata, Mammalia, Carnivora, Phocidae. The transcript is spliced from 3 exons. The record is from RefSeq and is a predicted model, not a curated record.
AUAUUUCCUCACAAAUUUCACUUUGCUUUCUCUACUCAGCAAGGUUUCUGCUAUUUGUGAUCCACUGUCUGUGCUGCUAUUUGUAAAAUGCUUCCAGGUGAAAGCCAGGAAGAAUAUGAAGUUCAUCUCAUGCAUUGUUUUUCCUCUCAAGAAUAACACCUGUAUUGUUUUUGUCCAAGGCUUAAAACAGUUUCUUCGUUUAUUUUUGUUCAAUUUUUUUAUUGAGGUAUAAUUGACAUAGAACAUUAUAUUAGUUUCAGGUGUACAACAUAAUGAUUUAAUAUUUGUAUAUACUGUGUAAUUAUUUUUGUUCAAUUUUUGGGUUAUUUAUUGUGGGAGGAUGAAUAUGAUACCAAUUAUUUCAUUAUAGCAAAAACUAUGUAUCUAGACAUGUCAAAUUUGAGAUGUCUAUUAGGUAACCAGAUAGCAAAGUAUGGUAAACUACUGAAUGCAUGAAUUUGGAUUUCAUGAAUAAGGUCCAUGCUGGAGACAUAAAUUGGGUAUUCACCAGUUUAUAUAACGUAUAUAAAGUUUUGAAGUGGAUGAGAUCUCCUAAAGUGUUAGUUUAGAUUGAGAGGAAAUAUAAGGACUGAGCCUUUGGGCAACUUUAAAAUAUCAGGGAGAUGAGGAAGAAUCAACAAAUUCAGAAACAUCGAAUGGGUAGGAGCAAAAAUAGUAGUGUUGUGACCUAGAAGCCAAGUGAAGAAUAUGUUUCAAAGAAGAGGUAAUCUUCAACUGUGUCAACCAGUGCUGAUUAGUCAAGAAAGGUAAGAAUAUGAACAGAUCAUUGGAUUUAUCAAACACUGGAGUCAUAAUAACCUUAACACCAGAAGUUCUAUUGGAGUAGUGGGGAUGAAAGCCUGACUGGUGUGAAUUCAAAUCAGAAUGGAGACAAAGUAUGGGGACUUUGUAAAAUUAGGAAUAUACAGAUUAUGUGGAAAGAAAUUAAAUAUAGAUAGUAAAAAAUAUACAGGAAUGUCCUAGAGUGUUUGAUAGAACUUUACUUGGAAACCACUGGACCGGAGCUACUUUAGAUGGAGGGGUAUUCCUGGCAUAUUCUGUUAAAUGUUCAACAACUGGCUCUCUGAAAAGAAAAAAAAAAAAAAAAAGCCCUGAUUUGUAGCAUUUGCCAAUCUCUGUGAUGUAAUAAAUACUCCCAAUUUGGGAGAUUUCAAGCUACCAAUGUGAUGUCACUGAACACAGAAGAGAUACAUAUGAUCCACUUUUAAGAGCUCAGCAUAUCACUGGAUAUAUAUUCCUCUUUUCCAAUUUAUUUUAUGACUAUUGGUCUGUUAAGAUUUUCAUUUUACUUAUUCUUAAAUUGGUUUUAUCAAUUUGUAUAUUCCUAAAAAAUUAUCCAUUUCAUUUAAGUUAUCUUAGGCUGUUACUGAAAAAUGGAGGCUGUGAAUUAUUUAGGGAUCACAAAUAUAUAAAAUUUUGUUUACACCCUUCAUUUGUGUGAAAAUAAUUAUAGUACAGUAUAAAAACAAUCUUUGCUGAGAACAGAAAUAUGAUGUCCACUUUCAUCACUCUGUCAGAAACAAACUGCAUGAUAUUUAAAAAGUAUGGAUAUCAAACUCUUAAUAUAUAUGUAGGAUGUACAAACAAGAUGUAAUAGGACUUUUUACAUUAAAAAGACAGCUUGAGCAGAAAAAAGACUAAAAUUGAAAACAUUGCAAAAAACCUGUCCUUUCGUCUACUUCCUAGCAGAUUUCUUCAUCUUCUAACCCUCCUACCAUUUUCAUUAUCCUACCAUAUUUUUAAUUUCUAAGAAUUUUUUUCAUCAUCUUGUGUUUGUUCAUGGAUACAGUAUCUUAUCUUAUGGAAGAUAUUAAUUAUAUUUUUUGAGGUUUUCUUCUGGUUGUAGUAUUGGCUCUUUUCCUCCAAGUUUCUCCUUAUGCCUUUUGGUUUGCUUUUGUUUUUCUCUUUAGGGUUAUAGUCUUUCCUCAAACAUCUGUUGAUUUUGGUGGUUCCAUCAUAUUUAAGAGUAAUUUAAGAGCUCUGUAUCUGUGUGUGUGGAGGUUUUAAAUGAUGUGCUUCAUGGUUGGGUGAUAGAAAUGGGCCAUUUUCUUGGGAGAAAGACACACAUACACACACACACACAUAUACAUACAUAAAAUACACAUGUAUAUAUUUUUUCAAUAAGUCAAUUUCUCCAGAGCAAAGUUCUUUAAUCCAUUGCCUGAAAGUUGUAAAAGCCUGGCUACCAGUAUUCUUGGAAGCAAGUUAAAAGUAGGUCCUCCUAAAUAUCACCACUUGGUAUGUUCUUUCUAAUAUUUCCCCAUUUUUUUUUCUUUUAGUAUGCACCUUACUCCAAUUCUCAAUGAACCAUGUGUUCCUAACUCCAGGAUCCACUUGGUUUAGUAAGAGAAGAAAGCCUCAAUCUUCUGCCAAGAAUCUCUACUGUCAGGAGGAAAGUUGGCCCUGAGAUCCUUUCCUCAGUUUCUUUUAGAGCAGAAAAACAUAGGCCUUGCUUGGAAAUUCUUAAGGAAUGUCAAAGAGCUGGUCCUGUUG